RNAcentral lists this long non-coding RNA (4385 nucleotides) under Marmota monax (woodchuck). Lineage: Eukaryota; Metazoa; Chordata; Mammalia; Rodentia; Sciuridae. The record is from RNAcentral.
UGCACCGUUUAUAUGGUGCAUUCUAUGGAGGACUUGGAGAGAGGGGCUCAGGAGGUCAGGCAGCGGCGCACCCGGCACCCGGGGAGGCAGGAGGGGGCCUUCCGGGCCGGCUGGGCAGCUCGGCCAGACUCUGUCUCCGAAUAAAAAGGGCUGGGGGUGUGGCAGGGUGGUGGAGAGCCUGGGGUUCCAUCCCGGGUACCAGGGGGAAAGAUGAAACGCUCUGCAUCCCGACUUGAUCGGAUGUGGGGUGUGCAUGCAUCCAACUACCACGUCGCAGCCCGCCAAUGUGUACAGUUCUUAUGUGGCGACUCAAAGGAACAAGGGAGCCACAUCCAGCCACCAAACCCACCUCAGCAACUGUGGGACAUUGGGCUGCUGACUCGUGCCGGGUUCCCCACCCGUCUAGCCUUACUACCUCACUGGACUCCUGAAAAUUGAGGUGGUGAAAGAACGCCACAGACAUGCUCAGGGGAAGAGGCCGGCCGUGAAAAGCCACAGGUCACAGAGUGCCAUAGAUAGAAGGGCCCAGCAAGGAGGGCAAAGAGCAGGACAUCACAGAAUCGAGUGGUCUGAUGUCAUUGGCUUCUGCCAGCAGCCAUCUGAAUAGAGAGGGGCCUGUGAGUAGAGUCCAGGGCCUCUGUCUGCAGAAAGGAGGCCCUGGUGGGUGCAGAAUGACUCCCUUGCGGGAUCCGAGCAGGGGCUUCCUCAGCCUGUUCAGGUAGACUGGGCCCCUGUGGGUGGGUUGCUUUGAAGCUCCUGGUUUGGGGGAAACUGGCUGAUUGGACGUGCAGUUUGGUGGUGUGGCCGGAUCUCAGGGACCCAAGGCAGGAGCUUAGUGCACAGCCGUGGCCUCUGCAGAUGCGACUUGGGAGGUCAGUCUCCACAGUGGGCUUUCUCCAGCUGUGCGCUGCUGGCAGGGGAUGGGUGAAGGGGACCUGCCCACAGUGGGGUGUGAGCGGGCUCCACCUGUUCGAUGGCAGAGCCACCUCCCUCCUGCCAUGACAAGCAAAAUGUCUGUCACAGUGCAGCUGUCCCUGGUGUGGUGUGUCAGAGCGAGGCCAGGGACCCUGCAGAUGACACAUUGGGAACCGGACCCCGCCCACCCAGCCCUCCGGGGACACUGGUAGGCUGCGCUUGGUGCCCCUGUCCAAUGGUCUGAGUGACCCCUCGUCCCCUCCCCACAGGGCCAGGCCUUGGAAGCCGGCUGCGCCCAGGCGGACUCCAAGUCCCAGGAGGCACCACCGAGGGCUGCGGCCUUGGUGUUGGGCAGGUGGUGCAGCUCCAGCACCGGCCAGGGCAGCACAGCCGUCCCCAAGGCGGGUGCCCACACUGGCAGGUGCGGGCCCUGGGAGUGCCUCUGCUCCACGCAGGGCUGAGUUUUGGCGCCAGAUUUUCAAAAUCCCAGGCCAACGGCUGCUGCUGGUUCCCGGCCCGGAUCGCCUUCCAGGAUCUGAAUUCCGGAGCUCAGAGCUCUGGGAGGCCUGAAUUCCGGCAUCUGGAUCUUGGAGGAGUGGAUCCUGGAUCUGGUGUAGACCCAGGCUUUCACGUGGAAGUCCUAGGUCUUGGGGUUCCAGAAUCUGGAGUCUGGGUCUUGGGGACCCUGAUUUUGGAGCCUGGAACUGUGGAAAGCCGUUCUUGCAUGUGAUUUGAGUUACCUCCCUGGCUGGGUGAGAGGCGCUUAGACACACUGUGUCAGAGCCUUCCCCACCCUGCCCCAGGUGCGAGGGCUUGUCCAGGUGGGAGUGUGCCUGACCACUGACCUGAAGACCAGUCACUGACCCUGACCUUGAAAUGCUGCCCCCCUCGACCCUCAUUGGAUGGAAUUUUCCCCUGAAUUUUUUGUUCCCCAAUAAAAGCUCACUCCCUGGCAAGUUCCCCCCCUCUCGCUGGCCUCUUGUGUAAACCUCGCUACCGCAUCAGGUGGCUGGAGGCAGGAGUGGGAGGAGCCGUCUCUGAGCUGGGCAAAUAAGGUAAGAGAGUCAUGUCUCUUGAAUUUGAACUCACUAGUUUAUUUCUGUGUUUUGAACCUCUAUUAUGAAGCUAGCGUGCUGGUCGCAUGGCUGAUGGAACCUGAAUUCUAGGGGUCUGCAUUUGGGGGGUCCAGAUUCUGGAGCCUAAGUGUCAGAAUGCAGGAACCUGGGUUUGGACCUAUAAUCCCAGGUGCAAUCGGAGGUGGCUGAUGCUGGGCUGGUGAGCCUGGAGGGAAGUGCCCCCUGUGUGGGGUCAGAGAGGCGGAAGAGCGUGACACACAUGAUCAGUAGCCAAGCGUGUGGCAAGCCGGAGGUGGUUCGCGUGAGGAAGAAAGGCAGCGACCACCUUGGGAGUGUGCGACGGGAGCAGGACUUUGAGCAGAAGAGGGGAGAGCCCUAAACAGCGAGGACAGCCACGGGGAGGACAUUAAAGAGGAAACACGCGUGCUGCCGCAUCCGUGUAUCCAUCAGCUGGUGCUGCAUAACAAGCAGCCCCCAAUACACACGCACACACGCGGUGGUCCUGGUCAACAGGGUCAACAGGAAGGGGUGAGUUCAGUGCAAUAAAAUUUUGAGAGGAGAAAACCCAUUUCUACUUAGAGUAAACUGUCCUGUUUAUCACUGUUGCUGGUCUCUGUGCCUCAUUCACACGCUCCCCUGUAUCGUAGCGUGUGUGUAGGAAAAUGAGAGCGUGGGUAGGGCGGGUCCCAGCUGAGGCUCAGGCCCUGGGUAAGGGGGCCGACCCGAGUGGUCAAGGCAGCGCACUCUUAUGUCACCGGCACACGGGUCAGCAGGAGGAGCAGCUUCGCUGGGCCUGGUGGCUCAGGGCUGCCCCCACUGUCCACACCGCCAUGGGACGUGGCUCCUGGCCGGGCACUGGGCUGAGAGCCGCAGCCCUCGGGGGCCUCGCCACCUGAGGAAAGGGUCUGGGGAAGCCCUCGCCGUUUGUCAUCGCAGGGAGACCAACCAAAACCACCCAGAGUUCCCCGUGAGACCAGGCCACCAGCGGGGCCGCGGGCAGCCCCAGAGACUGGACGGCAGGAGGAUCGUGGCUCCGUGAGACCCCGUCUCAAAACAAAAAAAUAGAAAGUGCUGGGACGUGGCUCAGGGUCGGCCCGCCUGGGCUCUGUCCCUGCUAGGGACAGAGAUAAAAACAGACCACGGCAGGGGGCAGCGUGUGGAGUCAGGUCCUCCAGGACACGGCGGGGAGAGGGCGUGUGCACAGGAGUGUCACGUGUGUCUGAGUGCAUUCACAUGUGUGCGUGUGUGGAGGUGCAUGUGGGGGGCACGCAUGUAAAUGCGCGUGUGUGAGGACUGGGUGUGAACACGGGGACUCAUGCGUGCUAGAUAACAGCCACCGCUGAGCUCCACCGCCAGCCCUUUUUGGGUGCAGUUGCCCAGGCUGGCCCUGAACUUGACCCUCCUGCCUCAGCCUCCAGAAUUGCUGGGGUGACAGGUGUGGCCACUACACCUGGCUCCCCUUUCUCUUUUUAUAAAGCCACCAGGAUCCGAUGGGGGCUCCACACCAAUCACCUCAGUGACCUUGUCCAACCCUAAUCACCCCGGGGCCACCUCUGAACACUGUGGUCAGGUUGAAGCGCCUCCCUCCUGAUACCUCAGCAGACUGGACUCCCGCUGUGUUUCAGAGGAUGAACCCGGCUCAGACCCACGGAGUCUGAGGGCAGGGCAGAGCGGAUGUCCCCUCUCCAGUGCCAGGGGCAGGAGGGCUCUCUGGCUCCAGGAGAACCAGCCCUUCCUUCCAUUCUGGCCUUUACCUGGUUGGACCAGGCCCACCACUCAAGGGAGGCCCUCCCCAGUUACCGCGUCACCUGAACCCCUCGCAGACACAUCUGGAACAACGUUGGGCCCAGCUUCUGGGCACCCAUGGCCCAGCUGUGUCAACACACAAAAGGCACCUCCACCGACUCAGGGAGGCUCGCUGGACCCUGCUGGCCACAGGAGCUGUCCUUCCUGCUUCAUCGUCUCCGAGGGAUUUUACAAGUGUGGACUUUGCAAAAUACCAAAGACCAUACAGGAGGUUCCCGCCCAGCCUCCCCAAGGCUGGCCUUUGUCCCCAGCUGCUGGGAGGUGACCUCUAGGCCCCAGGAAUGUCCCUCCUGAUGGGUAUGUCUCUGUUUGCCUGGAGUCUGUGGCCUGGGACAGUCCCAUCUGACAACAGGAGGAACGAGGGUUUGGGCCAGGCUCUCUGGGGACCAGCCUCCAGGCAAGAGCUCAGCCAGGCAGGCCGUGUGGAGGCCAGGCAGGCCGUGUGGAGGCCGGGCCGGGCUUCCCUGCUUGGGAGGACUCCUGGGACAGUGACCAGACGCUCCCCCGUGGGACCCCCCCCCCGGACUUGGCUUGGUGCCUGGCCUUCCUUGGUCAAUUGGAAUUUGUAUCCUGUAGCCACAAUAAAAU